AACGAACGCUGGCGGCAUGCCUAACACAUGCAAGUCGAACGAUCUCUUCGGGGAUAGUGGCGCACGGGUGCGUAACGCGUGGGAACCUGCCCUUAGGUUCGGAAUAACUCCCGAAGGGUGCUAUACCGAAUAAUGUCUUCGGACCAAAGAUUUAUCGCCUUUGGAUGGGCCCGCGUAGGAUUAGCUUGUUGGUGGGGUAAAGGCCUACCAAGGCGACGAUCCUUAGCUGGUCUGAGAGGAUGAUCAGCCACACUGGGGACUGAGACACGGCCCAGACUCCUACGGGAGGCAGCAGUGGGGAAUAUUGGACAAUGGCGCAAGCCUGAUCCAGCAAUGCCGCGUGAGUGAUGAAAGGCCCUUUAGGGGUUUGUAAAAGCUCUUUUUACCAGGGGAUGAUAAUGACAGUACCUGGAGAAUAAGCUCCGGCUAACUCCGUGCUAGCAGCCGCGGUAAUACGGAGGGAGCUAGCGUUGUUCGGAAUUACUGGGCGUAAAGCGCACGUAGGCGGCAUCGCAAGUCA
RNAcentral lists this ribosomal RNA (520 nucleotides) under uncultured bacterium. RNAcentral describes it as "bacterial SSU rRNA". It matches the Rfam family "Bacterial small subunit ribosomal RNA", at positions 28 to 590 of the family's 1533-position model. The record is from RNAcentral.